GAUGAACGCUGGCGGCGUGCCUAAUACAUGCAAGUCGAGCGAACGGACGAGAAGCUUGCUUCUCUGAUGUUAGCGGCGGACGGGUGAGUAACACGUGGAUAACCUACCUAUAAGACUGGGAUAACUUCGGGAAACCGGAGCUAAUACCGGAUAAUAUUUUGAACCGCAUGGUUCAAAAGUGAAAGACGGUCUUGCUGUCACUUAUAGAUGGAUCCGCGCUGCAUUAGCUAGUUGGUAAGGUAACGGCUUACCAAGGCAACGAUGCAUAGCCGACCUGAGAGGGUGAUCGGCCACACUGGAACUGAGACACGGUCCAGACUCCUACGGGAGGCAGCAGUAGGGAAUCUUCCGCAAUGGGCGAAAGCCUGACGGAGCAACGCCGCGUGAGUGACGAAGGUCUUCGGAUCGUAAAACUCUGUUAUUAGGGAAGAACAUAUGUGUAAGUAACUGUGCACAUCUUGACGGUACCUAAUCAGAAAGCCACGGCUAACUACGU
RNAcentral lists this ribosomal RNA (496 nucleotides) under uncultured bacterium. Its description in RNAcentral is "partial 16S ribosomal RNA". It matches the Rfam family "Bacterial small subunit ribosomal RNA", at positions 28 to 506 of the family's 1533-position model. The record is from RNAcentral.